GUGAGGAAUAUUGCGCAAUGGAGGCAACUCUGACGCAGCCAUGCCGCGUGCAGGAAGAAGGCGCUACGCGUUGUAAACUGCUUUUAACCGGGAAGAAACCCCAGGACGUGUCCUGGGUUGACGGUACCGGAGGAAUAAGCACCGGCUAACUUCGUGCCAGCAGCCGCGGUAAUACGAAGGGUGCAAGCGUUAUCCGGAUUCAUUGGGUUUAAAGGGUGCGUAGGCGGAGCGUUAAGUCAGUGGUGAAAUCCUGCAGCUUAACUGUAGACUUGCCAUUGAUACUGGCGCUCUUGAGUGCGCUUGAAGUGGGCGGAAUGUGCCGUGUAGCGGUGAAAUGCUUAGAUAUGGCACAGAACACCAAGUGCGAAGGCAGCUCACUAAGGCGAUACUGACGCUGAGGCACGAAAGCGUGGGGAUCGAACAGGAUUAGAUACCCCGGUAGUCC
RNAcentral lists this ribosomal RNA (445 nucleotides) under uncultured bacterium. RNAcentral's name for it is "partial 16S ribosomal RNA". It matches the Rfam family "Bacterial small subunit ribosomal RNA", at positions 354 to 796 of the family's 1533-position model. The record is from RNAcentral.